RNAcentral lists this ribosomal RNA (450 nucleotides) under uncultured bacterium. Its description in RNAcentral is "bacterial SSU rRNA". It matches the Rfam family "Bacterial small subunit ribosomal RNA", at positions 355 to 796 of the family's 1533-position model. The record is from RNAcentral.
UCGAGAGGCUUCGGCAAUGGGGGAAACCCUGACCGAGCGACGCCGCGUGGGUGAUGAAGUAUUUCGGUACGUAAAACCCUGUCAGGUGGGAUGAAAUACCAUUUGGUUAACACCCAAGUGGCUUGACAGUACCACCAGAGGAAGCUCCGGCUAACUCCGUGCCAGCAGCCGCGGUAACACGGGGGGAGCAAGCGUUGUUCGGAUUCAUUGGGCGUAAAGGGCUCGUAGGUGGCUUUGUAAGUCGGAGGUGAAAUCCCACGGCUCAACCGUGGACACGCCUUCGAAACUGUGAAGCUUGAGGCUGGGAGAGGAAAUCGGAAUUCCUGGUGUAGCGGUGAAAUGCGUAGAUAUCAGGAGGAACACCGGUGGCGAAGGCGGAUUUCUGGACCAGUUCUGACACUGAUGAGCGAAAGCCAGGGGAGCAAACAGGAUUAGAUACCCCUGUAGUCC